AGAGAAACCCUAGAACUCAUCAACGAGAGGUUCCAAAAAGUAGAUCCUUUGUGUGCAUCAGGAAGACGACGUGUUGCUCGUCUUGAGAGAGAUUGUUUGCUGUGAGAAAGAGAGUUUGUUUCUCUUCUCUUGAAUCUCUGUAACUUUCUUUGAUCAUAUAGUGAAAUAUUGAUCUGUGCGGCUGUGGACGUAGGAGCAAGAGACUC
RNAcentral lists this long non-coding RNA (206 nucleotides) under Phoenix dactylifera (date palm). RNAcentral's name for it is "long non-coding RNA (PDAC_LNC014345)". The record is from RNAcentral. Lineage: Eukaryota; Viridiplantae; Streptophyta; Magnoliopsida; Arecales; Arecaceae.